UGUUUGCUCUCUGUCUUUUGUGGCACCUUUACUCUCUGCUCCGUGUCUGCACACCUGUUCCUCGUUUAAUUAGUUGUAUUUAGUUCCACCUGAGUCCCUCCUUCACUGCUUCAUCAUUAUUCUUUUUUGACGGAUGUGGAUCGGACGGGUUUUAUUCGCACGCUACAACAGUACACAAGUCUUACACAAUGUGUUAUGGGUCACGUUCCUGCUUCUCCUCCUGCUGUGCGGACUGAGUGCAUGGCGGAGCACAUCAACAGGUGUUCCCUCUCCGCUGCGGGUGUGCUUCUGCAAGAGAUCUGCAAUCAACACACCUGCCCGUGAUGAGCAACCAGCCUUCAUAAUCCAGCGCGUCUUGAGAUCCGGUGCCAGAACGUAGUUUCUCCUACCAGUACACUUCCUCGUCGUCUACCUGGACCCCCUUUGGAUUCCCUCUUGCCUCCCUGGACCAAGACCUCGCUCCUGCCUUCUGACGUCCAAUCCUUUUUCUUCUUUUGGACUUCCACCUCUAUCUCAACACGCACACUCAACACCCUCUGGUGACCACGCUCAGA
Long non-coding RNA from Nerophis ophidion (straightnose pipefish), 554 nucleotides. RefSeq lists it as uncharacterized. The record is from RefSeq and is a predicted model, not a curated record. The transcript has 3 exons. NCBI's taxonomy places the organism in Eukaryota, Metazoa, Chordata, Actinopteri, Syngnathiformes, Syngnathidae.